UACUUUCCCUAAUUCAGUGUGUACAUAAGAUUUGCAGUUUUGGCAAGGAAAGUUAGUGAAUAAAAGUCUAAUGUCUAGAUCACACCUUACUGGGUAACGUUAACAAACUUCUAAAGGAAUGAAAAUACGGCGACAAAACGCAAUCCGAUGAUUUUCUGUUGAUGAAUAACGACUCUGCCGCUGUUGAAGGUUCCCGAGAUCAGGGUUUGAAAGCACAUAAAACGGAUGACAACCGAACGUUUAUUUGGAAACGGUCCGUCAUUUAACUCAUUUUAAGGAACGGACCUCACCGAAUAAGAAAGAAACAACUCGUACCUAAUACGAAUGCGUAAUGUAUUGAAAACUGAGUGACAAAAUGUCAAAUAGCACGGACUUCACCAAAUUUCAAAUGGCUUUGACAAGGAAAGGACAAGAAACGCGGAGAUGAACGGAUCAAAAAUUGUGUGCCACCCGUUGGAACAUCUUCGCUAGCCAAGGGUUUACGAUCCACUCUGCUAGAGGAGCAGACUGGAUCGUAAACCCUUGACUAGAGAAGAUGCUAGAGGAGCAGACUGGAUCGUAAACCAGAUGCUAGAGGAGCAGAGAGGAUCGUAAACCCUUGGCUAUCGAAGAUGCUAGAGGAACAGGGUGGAUCGUAAACCCUUGACUAGCGAAGAUGCUAGAGGAGCAGAGAGGAUCGUACACCCUUGGCUAGCGAAGAUGCCGUUGGACGCACGGUAGCAUUAACUGAGCAAAAGGGAACCGGACAUGUUGAACAGAGAAUUAACGAAUUUUCUGGUCGUAAAUUGCCUAUAAAUCAUGUCAAAGUCGGGCAAUUUUACACCCAUUGAAAAUGUUAAAAGGAAGACUAUUCCCUCGUGAUGACAUUUAAGUUUGCUUGAGACAUUGCUCGGAAAGAAGAUUUCAAAGCAAAUUGAUAUGAUCGGAUACUUGUCAGUGUACCCAAGAGACUGAGAUCCACCAAUUGUUCUUAUUCAAGUAUAACUUAGUAGGCCCAAAAAAUCUUACACAUAUUUUUUGUGUUAACUGUGUGCUCUACUCCGUCUACACUAAAACAAACUAAACGCAGUUUCCUUUUUCUUUUAAAUUUCAUUCUCUCAUUCUUAUGUAAAUUUCUCUGUA
Magallana angulata is the source of this 1122-nucleotide long non-coding RNA. RefSeq lists it as uncharacterized. The transcript is spliced from 3 exons. Lineage: Eukaryota; Metazoa; Mollusca; Bivalvia; Ostreida; Ostreidae. The record is from RefSeq and is a predicted model, not a curated record.